AUUUUUUCUUCUUCUCUUUA
Molecule: small RNA, 20 nt
Filed under: Arabidopsis thaliana (thale cress)
Lineage: Eukaryota; Viridiplantae; Streptophyta; Magnoliopsida; Brassicales; Brassicaceae
Description: ATSL005350
Source: RNAcentral